CAUAAUAGAGUGAAAGAGCGUCGUAUCGUUCUGAACAGAUUUAUCGCAGUAGGAUAGGCAUGCGUAAGAUUAGUUAGUUGGUAAGGGUAACGGCUUACCAAGACGAUGAUCUUUAGGGGGGCGUGAGAGGGUGCACCGCCACACUGGUACUGAGACACGUCCCAGAGUCGUCCGCGAGACGGCAUUGAGGAAUAUUGGACAAUGUGUGGAAGCGUGAUCCAGCCAUCGCGAGUGUAGGAUGACGGCCUUAUGGGUUGUAAACUACUUUUAUCUGGGGAUAAACGUACUUGCGUGUAAGUAGCUGAAGGUACCAGAAGAAUAAGCACCGGCUAACUCCGUACCAGCAGCCGCGGUAAUUAGGAGGGGGCAAGCGUUAUCCGGAUUUAUUGGGUUUAAAGGGUCCGUAGGCGGAUUAAUCAGUCAGUGGUGAAAUCCGUUAGCUCAAUUAAGGACAUGCCAUUGAGCAUGUUAGUAGUGAGGGAGGGGGCAGUGGAAGGAAUGGGUAAUGUAUCGGAGAAAUAGUUAGAUAUAAGGCCGACCACCAAKUWGCGCAAGGCCWGRUCGCUMWGCCUCAACUGUACGGCUGCAUGGAMGARAGCGURGSRARCGARCUWKKAWUARAWACCMYKGYAGUCCACGCCGUAAACSAWGGAUACGUUGMUGUUGGAUUUUUGGAUUCAGUGGCUAASCGAACAGYWAUAAGUWUCCMACCUGGGGAGUACAUUCGCAAGAAUGAAACUCAAAUGAAUUGACGGGGGCCCGCACAAGCGGUGGAGCAUGUGGUUUAAUUCGAUGAUACGCGAGGAACCUUACCAAGGCUUAAAUGCAUAAUGACUUAUUUGGAAACAGAUAUUUCUUCGGACAGAAUGCAAGGUGCUGCAUGGCUGUCGUCAGCUCGUGCCUCGAGGUGUUAGGUUAAGUCCUGCAACGAGCGCAACCCCUAUCAUUAGUUGCCAGCGUUUAAAGACGGGGACUCUAAUGAGACUGCCGGUGCAAACCGCGAGGAAAGUGGGGACGACGAUCAAGUCAUCACGGCCCUUACGUCUUGAGCUACACACGUGCUACAAUGGUAAGUACAGAGGGCAGCUACUUAGCAAUAACAUGCGAAUCUCAAAAACUUAUCUCAGAUCUGAUUGCAGACUGCAACUCGACUCUAUGAAGCUGGAAUCGCUAGUAAUCGCAUAUCACCCAUGAUGCGGUGAAAUACGUUUCCCGGGCCUUGUACUCACCGCCCGUCAAGCCAUGAAAGC
RNAcentral lists this ribosomal RNA (1250 nucleotides) under Flavobacteriaceae bacterium BD1. RNAcentral's name for it is "partial 16S ribosomal RNA". It matches the Rfam family "Bacterial small subunit ribosomal RNA", at positions 172 to 1411 of the family's 1533-position model. The record is from RNAcentral. Lineage: Bacteria; Pseudomonadati; Bacteroidota; Flavobacteriia; Flavobacteriales; Flavobacteriaceae.